UCUACUUUACUGUCUUCAA
RNAcentral lists this small nuclear RNA (19 nucleotides) under Arabidopsis thaliana (thale cress). RNAcentral's name for it is "snRNA_18218". The record is from RNAcentral. Lineage: Eukaryota; Viridiplantae; Streptophyta; Magnoliopsida; Brassicales; Brassicaceae.